This 253-nucleotide ribosomal RNA is filed under the name uncultured bacterium. RNAcentral's name for it is "partial 16S ribosomal RNA". It matches the Rfam family "Bacterial small subunit ribosomal RNA", at positions 524 to 776 of the family's 1533-position model. The record is from RNAcentral.
UACGUAGGUGGCAAGCGUUGUCCGGAAUUAUUAGGCGUAAAGCGCGCGCAGGCGGUCCUUUAAGUCUGAUGUGAAAGCCCACGGCUCAACCGUGGAGGGUCAUUGGAAACUGGGGGACUUGAGUGCAGGAGAGAAGAGUGGAAUUCCACGUGUAGCGGUGAAAUGCGUAGAGAUGUGGAGGAACACCAGUGGCGAAGGCGACUCUUUGGCCUGUAACCGACGCUGAGGCGCGAAAGCGUGGGGAGCAAACAGG